CCUAGGGGGAGCAGCAGUGGGGAAUAUUGGACAAUGGGCGAAAGCCUGAUCCAGCCAUGCCGCGUGUGUGAAGAAGGCCUUCGGGUUGUAAAGCACUUUCAGUGGGGAAGAAAGCCUUGGGGCUAAUACCCUCGAGGAAGGACAUCACCCACAGAAGAAGCACCGGCUAACUCCGUGCCAGCAGCCGCGGUAAUACGGAGGGUGCGAGCGUUAAUCGGAAUUACUGGGCGUAAAGCGCGCGUAGGCGGUCUGAUAAGCCGGUUGUGAAAGCCCCGGGCUCAACCUGGGAACGGCAUCCGGAACUGUCAGGCUAGAGUGCAGGAGAGGAAGGUAGAAUUCCCGGUGUAGCGGUGAAAUGCGUAGAGAUCGGGAGGAAUACCAGUGGCGAAGGCGGCCUUCUGGACUGACACUGACGCUGAGGUGCGAAAGCGUGGGUAGCAAACAGGAUUAGAUACCCGGGUAGUC
Molecule: ribosomal RNA, 465 nt
Filed under: Vreelandella stevensii
Lineage: Bacteria; Pseudomonadati; Pseudomonadota; Gammaproteobacteria; Oceanospirillales; Halomonadaceae
Description: partial 16S ribosomal RNA
Rfam family: Bacterial small subunit ribosomal RNA
Source: RNAcentral